UAUUUCUUCUUCUUCAUCCUCUUCUGGGUCAACAUUAACUUUAUAUUCAUCUCUACGAGAGGCGGCUAACGGUGUGUGUGUAUGUGUGUGUCUGUGUGUGUGUGUGUGUGUGUGUGUGUGUGU
Long non-coding RNA from Sander lucioperca (pikeperch), 123 nucleotides. RefSeq lists it as uncharacterized. The record is from RefSeq and is a predicted model, not a curated record. The transcript is spliced from 3 exons. NCBI's taxonomy places the organism in Eukaryota, Metazoa, Chordata, Actinopteri, Perciformes, Percidae.